GAUGAACGCUGGCGGCGUGCCUAAUACAUGCAAGUCGAGCGAACGGACGAUAAGCUUGCUUCUCUGAUGUUAGCGGCGGACGGGUGAGUAACACGUGGAUAACCUACCUAUAAGACUUGGAUAACUUCGGGAAACCGGAGCUAAUACCGGAUAAUAUUUUGAACCGCAUGGUUCAAAAGUGAAAGACGGUCUUGCUGUCACUUAUAGAUGGAUCCGCGCUGCAUCAGCUAGUUGGUAAGGUAACGGCUUACCAAGGCAACGAUGCAUAGCCGACCUGAGAGGGUGAUAGGGCACACUGGAACGGAGACACGGUCCAGACUACUACGGGAGGCAGCGGAAGGGAAUGUUGCGCAAUGGGCGAAGGCCUAACGGGGCAGCGCCGCGUGAGUGAAGAAGGUAUUCGGAUCGUAAAACUAUGUUAUUAGGGAAGAACAUAUGUGUAAGUAACUGUGCACAUCUUGACGGUAGCUAAUAAGAAAGCCACGGCUAACUACGUG
This 497-nucleotide ribosomal RNA is filed under the name uncultured bacterium. Its description in RNAcentral is "partial 16S ribosomal RNA". It matches the Rfam family "Bacterial small subunit ribosomal RNA", at positions 28 to 507 of the family's 1533-position model. The record is from RNAcentral.